This is a non-coding RNA of Vicia faba (fava bean), 225 nucleotides long. The record is from the annotation of a GenBank genome assembly. Lineage: Eukaryota; Viridiplantae; Streptophyta; Magnoliopsida; Fabales; Fabaceae.
AUGUUCUUCAAAAAUAUGUUUGAAACUUACACUGUCAAAUCUACACUGUUCUUCUUCUCUCUUCAUCUAACUUUUCCAUGUUUUGAUUCUUCUGUCAUGGUUCUUCUAUGGUGGCUUCAAACAUCACACACUAAACCAAAUCUACAACAACACUUUUAUUUUGAAACCCUAACCGAUAUCACAAAUGAAAGCAAUGCACACGUCUGUUUACUUCGAGAAAUUUGA